RNAcentral lists this ribosomal RNA (510 nucleotides) under uncultured bacterium. RNAcentral's name for it is "partial 16S ribosomal RNA". It matches the Rfam family "Bacterial small subunit ribosomal RNA", at positions 28 to 507 of the family's 1533-position model. The record is from RNAcentral.
GACGAACGCUGGCGGCGUGCUUAACACAUGCAAGUCGAACGAAGAGCGAUGGAAGCUUGCUUCUAUCAAUCUUAGUGGCGAACGGGUGAGUAACGCGUAAUCAACCUGCCCUUCAGAGGGGGACAACAGUUGGAAACGACUGCUAAUACCGCAUACGAUCUAAUCUCGGCAUCGAGGAUAGAUGAAAGGUGGCCUCUACAUGUAAGCUAUCACUGAAGGAGGGGAUUGCGUCUGAUUAGCUAGUUGGAGGGGUAACGGCCCACCAAGGCGAUGAUCAGUAGGCGGUCUGAGAGGAUGAACGGCCACAGUGGGACUGAGACACGGCCCAGACUCCUACGGGAGGCAGCAGUGGGGAAUCUUCCGCAAUGGACGAAAGGCUGACGGAGCAACGCCGCGUGAGUGAUGACGGCCUUCGGGUUGUAAAGCUCUGUUAAUCGGGACGAAAGGCCUUCUUGCGAAUAGUGAGAAGGAUUGACGGUACCGGAAGAGAAAGCCACGGCUAACUACGUG